This 384-nucleotide unclassified non-coding RNA is filed under the name Hevea brasiliensis (rubber tree). Lineage: Eukaryota; Viridiplantae; Streptophyta; Magnoliopsida; Malpighiales; Euphorbiaceae. The record is from RNAcentral.
CCGGCGAGGUUUUGAUGAGCAUUGGAUUUCACAGAUUAUGAGAUGUGUCGCCUCGGCUACUUAUCCAAUCUUGAUUAAAGUUGAUCCUGUGGGUAAUAUUGUGCCCACAAGGGGCUUGAGACAAUUGUAUUCUAUUUGUUUAAGAGUAAACCUGAGGCAAGUUGUAUUUCUUCUAUGCUAUAGCGGUAUGAGCAAUUGUUUGGGCUGAAGGUGAACUUCUCUGAAUCAAAAAUAUCUUUCAAUUCUAAUAUGCAGCAAGAGAGGAGACAAUAUCCGGUUGACUCUCUAGGAUUUCGGGCAACUAAUAAUGAUGUGGUUUAUUUGGGGUUGCGAGCUAUGGUUGGGCGAUCCAAGAAAACAGUCUAUUUAGUGAUAAAGUAGUGG